UCUGGGAGUGGCGAGGCCACCCAGGAAGGAGCCACCGUCUACGCCGUGGUCACUCCCAGGACACUGGAGCAUCCCAGGCACCGGGAGGAACCCGAGAAUUUCACCGUUUACUCAACGGUCCAGUUUGGCCGAAGGCCUUCUUCCAUCAAGAGGAAGAGGCUGGACCGAGCUUUGGUCGCCACUGCCUACUUGGAGGAUAACGGGAGUUACAGGCGCUUGGGCUUCCCAAAUCCUGCCGACCACCAGAGCCCCUAAAACCCCGGAAUUCCCAUCCCUGUGGAAUUCUCCUGGAAACUCCAGUGGACACUGGGAUCAAUAGAAUAGAAAUAUGCAGAAAUUUGGGGGUUUUCCCCAAGGUUCAACCCCCAGUUGUGCCUUGGAGCGAAGAUUUGGGGAUGGUAAAAUCCGGAAGGGAUGGA
This is a long non-coding RNA of Onychostruthus taczanowskii (white-rumped snowfinch), 419 nucleotides long. RefSeq lists it as uncharacterized. The record is from RefSeq and is a predicted model, not a curated record. Lineage: Eukaryota; Metazoa; Chordata; Aves; Passeriformes; Passeridae. The transcript has 4 exons.